UACGGAGGGUGCAAGCGUUGUUCGGAUUGAUUGGGCGUAAAGCGCACGUAGGCGGGCUCAUAAGUCGAAUGUGAAAGCCCUGGGCUUAACCUGGGAAUUGCAUCCGAAACUAUGGGUCUUGAAUGCUUAAGAGGUUGGUGGAAUGUCUGGUGUAGGAGUGAAAUCCGUAGAUAUCAGAUGGAAUAUCGGAGGCGAAGGCGG
Molecule: ribosomal RNA, 201 nt
Filed under: uncultured prokaryote
Description: partial 16S ribosomal RNA
Rfam family: Bacterial small subunit ribosomal RNA
Source: RNAcentral